UACGUAGGAGGCGAGCGUUAUCCGGAUUUACUGGGCGUAAAGCGCUUGUAGGCGGCGUUGUAAGUUGGGGGUGAAAGCUCCGGGCUUAACCCGGAGAGGCCGUCCGAUACUGCGAGGCUAGAGGGUGCGAGAGGAAGGAGGAAUUCCUGGUGUAGCGGUGAGAUGCGUAGAUAUCAGGAAGAACACCCGUGGCGAAGGCGGCCUUCUGGGGCAUUCCUGACGCUGAGAAGCGAAAGCUAGGGGAGCAAACAGG
RNAcentral lists this ribosomal RNA (253 nucleotides) under uncultured bacterium. Its description in RNAcentral is "partial 16S ribosomal RNA". It matches the Rfam family "Bacterial small subunit ribosomal RNA", at positions 524 to 776 of the family's 1533-position model. The record is from RNAcentral.